Molecule: non-coding RNA, 201 nt
Organism: Odocoileus virginianus texanus
Lineage: Eukaryota; Metazoa; Chordata; Mammalia; Artiodactyla; Cervidae
Source: RefSeq, a predicted model, not a curated record
AGCUUGUUCUGAACGGCACUAGUUCCCAGUCUCAUGAACAGCCUGGCAGCUGAGUGAGACCUGCCGCUUCGCCCGGGCCCUGAGACCAGCGAAGGCUUCAAAUGGCCAAACAGAAACAACAGAAAUGACACAGAUGCUGACUUGGGUACAUGUCAUUGUGUAUGUGUUGAAAUGUGGAAAUAAAUACGUUUUCCUCUCUCC